UAAUAGAAUGGAGUAGGUUGAAUACCAUCCAACUUUAAGGUCCACACGUCAGAAAUAUUGUCAGUGGUUGUGUUGAGUUUUUUGUGUGUUUUUGUUUUUCUGAUUUGGAGUUAAUGGCAGCCCGUUACCUUUGUUAUAUCUGUUUAUUCAAAACUUGUUUAAUUGAAUCUAGGCAAUUUAAGGUUUGAAAUAUGUAUGGACAUUUGUCUUUUUGUUAUCACUUGUGUGCAUAUUAUGAAGUUAUUUCCAGACCAUCAUAAUUUGAAUUCAGGAGGACCAUCGAUUAUUGAUGACCUCAAUAUCAAUGAUUUGUUUUUCCAGAUGUAUUUCAUGACCUCCAUACUUUGAUUGAAAUUUAUAUCCAAAAGAUUUCCUGAACAUGCAGAAAUCGAAAUGUGACGGUCCUGAUAUAUUUGUAAAUAUCCUGAAUUCGCCAUGAAAUAUUUCUCCUCUUCUCAGUCAAAGUAUGCACGUUUAAAACGUUUUGGUAACUACUAGUAUACAAUUUAUUGUGUUUUUUGGUGGCGAAACAGGACGGUAAAGAGAACAAUAAUAAAAUGCCUUAAUUUGGUUGGUUAACACUUGAUUAUUUCCUCCGUGAUAUGCCAAACAUUAUGAUGUAACUAGAUUUUCAUCUUUUAAUCGUAACAUAAUUUUCAUUAUUUGUGUUUACUUCGGAAGUAAAUGUGUUUUAUAUCUUUU
RNAcentral lists this long non-coding RNA (702 nucleotides) under Mytilus galloprovincialis (Mediterranean mussel). The record is from RNAcentral. Lineage: Eukaryota; Metazoa; Mollusca; Bivalvia; Mytilida; Mytilidae.